UAAUUCCCAUUCAUUUCCUUUUCAAAACUCAGCAACCUUUCAUUUUUAUUUUUAAAAACAGAAGCUUUAACCCCUCCCCCUAGUGUUUGAUUCAACAUGCAGCUGCCUAAACCAUCAUUUAUUUGAUGGCCGACUGUGCACCAAUGGCGAUUGGACCUUGUCAACGGAGGACACGCCCACGGAGAUCGAGUGAUGGGACGAUGGGAUGGGGUUAGGUGGUGGCAGUAGGUACAAAGGCUGAACAUAGGGCUAGGUUUUUUUUUUUUUUCUGAUUUUGUUUGGGUUAAGGUUAGUUUGGUUUAGGUUGAAAUUGGGUCGGGCAAUUUGGGCCUUCUACAUAUAUUAUCCAUUUAAUUUCAAUAAUAUGUUGAAAAAUAUUUGGGUAAAUUACACCAUUAGUCACUAUUAUGGUAAGUUUUCGUUUUGAUCACUUAACUAAAAAAGUUACAAUUUGGUCACUAAACUAUUCAAAUAUUUUUAUUUGAGUCACUGAACUAUUUAAUUUUUUUUAAGUCACUAAGUUGUUAUUUAAAAAAAAAAGUUUCAUUAGUGAGCUCCAAGCGACAAUUCGACGAUUGGUAUGAUGGAUCAGUACCCAUUUAUGAGUAGAAGAACAUACAUUAGAUCCAAGUUGAUUUGGUGAUCAGUGUCGGAGAUCGGAGAAAAUAAUUACUUGUAUUUUUGUUCGUAAAUUUGUGACGUCUAAAGUUAUUCCAUGAAAAAAAAAGUUGAAAUAGAAGAGAAAUGAAAGGAAAGUUUUCAAUUGGUGCAAGCAAUACAAAAAGAGAAAGGCAUACAACAUCGAUUUUAACACUUCGGUGACUUAAAUGAAAACUUUUGACAUGAAAAAAAAAGUUGAAAUGUAAAAGAGAAAGGGAAAUAAAACUUUCGAUUAGUGCCGGUAAUGCAAACAGAAAAAACCAUAUAUAGCAUCGAUUUUAACAAUCCAUUUAUUUAAAUGAAAACUUUUGAAUAAUUCAGUGACUAAAUUGUAACUUUUUUUAGUUAAUUUGACCAGAAUGAAAACAUACCUAUACUUUCGUGACUAAUUGUGAAAUUUA
This is a long non-coding RNA of Gossypium arboreum, 1061 nucleotides long. RefSeq lists it as uncharacterized. NCBI's taxonomy places the organism in Eukaryota, Viridiplantae, Streptophyta, Magnoliopsida, Malvales, Malvaceae. The record is from RefSeq and is a predicted model, not a curated record. The transcript has 2 exons.